GCGGAUGUGGCGUAAUUGGUAGCCGCGCUAGACUUAGGAUCUAGUGGUCCUGGACCGUGGGGGUUCGAGUCCCUUCAUCCGCA
This 83-nucleotide transfer RNA is filed under the name Bacteroidales bacterium. Its description in RNAcentral is "tRNA-Leu". It matches the Rfam family "tRNA". Rfam says of the family: Transfer RNA (tRNA) molecules are approximately 80 nucleotides in length. Lineage: Bacteria; Pseudomonadati; Bacteroidota; Bacteroidia; Bacteroidales. The record is from RNAcentral.